GAACGCACAUUGCGCCCGCCGGUAUUCCGGCGGGCAUGCCUGUUCGAGCGUCAUUUCAACCCUCAAGCCCCCAAGGCUUGGUGUUGGGGCACCCGGUGGUAACCACGACCGGGGCCCCCAAUUGCAUCGGCGGGACCGCUUGGACCCUGAGCGCAGUAGCUGUAUUUCGCUCGGCGGGAUCUCCACGGCGGGCCACCCGGCCGCUAAACCCACCAAACGUACCAAAGGUUGACCUCGGAUCAGGUAGGAAUACCCGCUGAACUUA
RNAcentral lists this unclassified non-coding RNA (265 nucleotides) under uncultured Sordariomycetes. RNAcentral's name for it is "sequence contains 5.8S rRNA gene". The stretch from base 1 to 53 matches the Rfam family "5.8S ribosomal RNA", at positions 102 to 154 of the family's 154-position model. The record is from RNAcentral. Lineage: Eukaryota; Fungi; Ascomycota; Sordariomycetes.